Molecule: unclassified non-coding RNA, 6290 nt
Filed under: Neodiprion lecontei (redheaded pine sawfly)
Lineage: Eukaryota; Metazoa; Arthropoda; Insecta; Hymenoptera; Diprionidae
Description: pleckstrin homology domain-containing family G member 5, transcript variant X8
Source: RNAcentral
CGAGAGAAAGGAGAAACGGCCACGGCACUGAACCGCUGCGGGGAAGUCAACGACAGCCCGAAACCUCCGUCCAUUCACGUCCCUUUUUCCACCCUCGAGAUGUAUGUAACAAAACGUUUUCGCCUCGUCGUCAUUUUUGCCGUCAGCUGGUCCCCGAGAGCGACGAAACGCCGUGGAAAAGUCGAGCUUCGUUCUUGUAUAUCUACAUGCAGUCCGCUUCAGGGGCUGAUGUGAAGGAAUUUUAUGGACUUUGCAUACGUGUAAUUAAUUGUAAUAUAUCGGUAUUCUAAUAAUACAAAGCAACUGCAAUGCGCCUUGAAGAGGAAUUUGAUUGAAAUAAGUUUUCAAACGUGUAAUUAUAUCACGUAAACACUAUUUGUAUAAUAAUAUUCGGGAAGAUAGAGGUAAGUUGGGAGAAUACGAUCCAUAAGAUGAAAGAACUGUGCCAUCCGCUAUUUAAUCUCAAAAACAGAAUUAUUUUCAUUUUCGGAGAAUCACGAAACCGAAAUUAUCAUCACUAUCGUUGUAGAAUCGAGAGUGAUUAUUGCUAAAAAAUUUGUGCCAGCAGUAAUUUUGACAAUUUCUCAUCUUUUCCCGAACUUAUUUACCUCAGUUAUAUAUUAACGGUAUACUUACGAUGCUCUACGGACAACUAAAUCAUAAUUAUCGGACCAUUAGCGAUGCGGAGAAGUUUCGAAGAGCGUUAUAGCAAGUAGUUCGAACACGGUGAAGGAGAUAGGUAUAAUAAUAGACAAACAUUAGACCGCAGUAAGGGUUGAAAAGUUGGCAGUGUGUACGUCUACUUAGAUGUAAGCGAAGUGGAGAGUAAAAAAACAAAAAAAUAAGGACUUUCAAGGAUGUUUUGGUGGUGAGACAAGAACAUGCUAUAACUAUAAAUCCACUUAAAUUCAUACAACAAAUGAUUACCAUGAUCGUGUUCGACCAAACUUUCGAAAUUCGUCUUCAUUGUCCGACCUCGCUUGAAGUUUCACAGUUGUAUAUAAAUCACGGUAAGACAAAACAAACUUCCCUUCAAAACAAUAUCGAAGUAUAUGUAAUAUAUAUAUUAGUGAAUUCGUGAUUUGACGGGUGAAAAAAAUUUUAGCGGUCAACAAUCGUCUCCGCGAUACAUAAAAAGUUGUCUAUUGAAUUUUUGUUGGAACGAACUUUCGUAUAGAUAUUACAUUAAUUCGAGACAACGAAUUGUUGUUCAAAAUUUGUCAAUGUCGCCGUUAGACAGCAUCUGACUUAUGGUAUACAACAGCGGGAUCAAAACAUCCUUAAUUAAAUCUAAGAGAAGAAGAAAGCGAAGAAAGAGUGAAAGAGUGAAAGAAUAAUAAAAAUCCCCGAGGACAGUGUUGCCGGAAUUGAAGAAGGAUUCUAAACCGUUUGAAAAGGACAUCGGGUGCUGGUGCGCGUUGGUUGUUUUCUAACCGGCUUAAGUGCGUGGAGAGUAAUAACAAAGUAGUCGAGAGGCGGAAGAGUAGGUAGAGGAACGGGAACAGGAGGAGGAGGAGGAAGAGGAAGAGGAAGAGGAGAGUGACAGGGCAGAGAAUAACCGGAAGCGGCGGGAGGGGGAAGGGGAAGAGGAAGGGGCCGGCGGCAGCACGGUGUCGGCAAGAGGAGGCCCAGCCGGAGGCCGGGGGUCCGUCAGCCGCCGUGCCAGUCGCGAGCUGAGUCCCUCCUCCACCCCUUCCUCGUCCUCGAAGGGCGGUUCGCAGUCAACGACUCCGGGCCAGAAUGCGGCAUCGUGCGCCUCGGGAGUCCAGCUGCCAGGGGGAGGCGGUCAAGAUUGGAGACGGCUAGUCGGCAGCAUCCGCCGGAAGGUCAGGCGCAAGACGACCCAGAGCAGCACCAGCCUUGCCGAAGCUACCCUGCGGGAUACCUGCACCGGUAACCGGAACCAGGAUGACUUCCUCAAGGCCACCAUGAGGAUUUUCCUGGUCGUCUCGCCGCCCAUGAGUCGCGUUCAGGUGCGAUCGCGUUCCCUGACCCAGCUCGACGCCCUGGGUACCAGCAUGCUGGACGCCGGUGAACAUCGGCUGGGCGGCAGCCCCACGACGACUUCGCAACACCAACAAUCUCAUCAGCAUCCCCACAGCACCGGGGACUGUAGCCCACGUCUCCUGGUGCCAAACGCUUCCCUCGGCGAGCCGGUCAGCACGAACAAGACAAGACACAAGCUCUCCAGGUCGCAGGUAUCGAGCAGCGAGUACUUCAGCGUGUGCUUUGAGGCCGGAGACGAAACGACGUUGGAUCGAGAGGAAUUCCUGCCCGCCACGAAGGGAACAACUUUGGCGGAGGCUCUGAGCGGGGCCUGUGAACGUCGAGGCAUUGACUUGGGGCGCGUCGACGUUUUCUUGGACUCCCUCAACACUCCUCUGCCAGUUCUUACCACCGAGAGUUCCUGCAUGGGUGGAAGGCAUCUUCGCAUCACCGCCAGAGACGAUAGAACGAGCACGAGACCGGCGACUCAAAAGAGCAAUCAGAACGUGUCAUUACGCAAGGCGAGUGGGCAGAGCUGCCGGGGCCGCAGCAGCCGAUUCUUCAGCGUGUCUACGGAGGACUCGAGCGUUGACUCGGAGAAUCCAGCCGUCGUCGGUUCCACACCCAGCGGAAAAUCGUCCUCGGGGGCGGCGGGUCUCAAGGCCAGCAAGCAGCGGUGGAGUGGCUUCUUCACGAACACGAAGGGCACCAAGAUGGAGUCGCUCGUUGAACAACUCAACGAGUACACCAAGCACGGGGUGCCACGACUCACCGACAUUCAGCUACCCUACGUCGGCGAACGCGACGCUGACGAAGAGGGUCUUUACGCCCUGGAGGAGGAUUGGCGCGACAUAGUGGAGGCCUCGGACCGACUGUCAGAAAAGCAACAGCAGCAGCAAACCGCACUUUGGGAGUUGGCGCAGACAGAGGUCGCCUACAUCAGGACGCUGAAGGUGGUGACCGACCUCUUCAUGGCCUGCCUAUGCAGCCUACAGGCCUGCGGUAUCCUGAUGGAAGUCGACAGGACGAAGCUGUUUGGUAACAUUCCAGAUAUCUAUGCCGCGAACCGAUUUUUCUGGUGCGAACAUCUUCUGGCCAUGGUCAACGCGGCCAGAGUCACAAGGCUGCCUCUCGACCCCGGCGACCUUCUUCACGGCUUUGAGACCUUUGAACAGACCUUUGCACCCUACUCGAGAUACUGCGCCGAGCAGAGCAGGUGCCAACAGUACUGCAGGGACCGUUUGAACGACAACGAAUUAUUUACGGCAUAUCUCGUGUGGUGCGAAACGCAAAAAGACUGCAAUCGAUUGAGGUUGCUGGACAUUCUAGUGAAGCCAAUGCAAAGGCUGACCAAAUAUUCUCUAUUGCUGAAGGCCGUCCACAAGAAUACAGAGCACGAGGAACAGCGGUCUGAACUUACGAUGAUGAUUAAAUCCGUAGACAAAUUCGUUGCUUCGGUAAACGCUGCUCUCAGACGAAGUGAGGAGACCGCUCGUCUGGCUAGCGCCGCUGCUCGUCUUGAAACUUACGAAGUCGUUGAGUCUCGAGACGAGGAGCUUGACAGAUUAGUCAAAGCUCACAGCAACCUCGACAUCAUGACUACGCCGAUGCCUGGGUGCCCGAAGGAUGCACCGAGGACCCUUCUCAGAGAAGGGGAAUUCAAAUUACGGGACGGUGCCACGAGCAAGAUGGAGGUGCGAGUCCUUUUGCUUACUGACAUGCUGCUUGUAUGCAAACCCUCAACGAAAAAGACCUCGUCAAGCAGCGGGUCUGGAGGAGGCGCGGCUGGUGGUCUCAGGAUAGUCCGCCAGCCCUACGUCGUAGACCGCAUCCGUGUAAACGAGCUCAAGGAACCAUCCAGUCUGGGUCUGGUUUACCUUAACGACUACGGCGCAGCAUGUGCCGCACUUAUACUCAGCGCUGGGGAGCCGAAAUUGGCCAAGUCCUGGGUCGAAUCUCUUCGCAAGGCGCAACAGCAGUUUGCGCGAAUGAAAUUGCCCCCCGUGGUUGGUGCGGCAACAGUGCCGAUCCUCCCUGUCAGCAGGCAAGCCAGCACCUACCUCGGAGACGGGGACUUUGACGUGGAAGAUGCUGAAGGUGUGUUGGGUCGGACGCCUCGCGGAAGCAGCCGAGCCUCACGGGUCAGCAGUCUGGCCCACAGCCACAGCGGAAGCAUGGAGAUGGAGGGCGUUUCUCCCGGCAGCAACAGCUUCGUCGCCAGCUACAAUCCCAGCAGGAAUGUCAGCGUCGAGACGAACGAACCUCCCCGUGCCUCCAGUGUGUCCUCGGAAGAGGGCGGCAGUGAACUUGCAGCUGCCGGGCACAAUCUCAGGCCUCUGCAAGUCAGGCGCUCGCUCCUCUGCAAAUCUCCGACGCCAAACACCCUCAGCGUCCAAGUACCGGCGUACUCGGGUCUAGGUCAGUCUUUGCCGAAUCUGACCCUUGCAACGUCACCACAAACGUCAACCGUCUCGCCAACACCGCCUAACUCUCUCCUGAUCGUUCCUCAGAUCACCAAGAGCAAGGAUACUCUCCUGUCUCCUGGACACAGAGGAAUAUCGUACCCGCCUCCUUCACCACCGCGGGGCGCCCUGCGUAGGGCGUUCGCGGUACCGCAAUCCCGGAACCCACCCUUGAUUAAGACUCGGCAUGUGAACGCCUCGGUCGUCGCCCAACCGGUGCAAACAACCGUGAGUCUUGACGCCGAUGCCGCCGAGGAGAGACGGCGGAGACUCGAACCAUCUCAGAGAAUUACAUCAGCGAGCAGCAUCACCGAGGAAAAGAAAUGACCGGCAUAAGGUGAAUGAUUAAUUGUGAACAUUGAUCACCGCGAAGUGAUCCUUGGAGGGGCAAACCGUUGUCGUUCGGGUUUACGACGCCCGGGCUUAGCGGCGGACGGAUACCUGUGGAUCCCGGCUCGUCGAUGUUUCUGCACUGAAGUUGAAGAUCGAAAGAUUGAAAUGUUUUUCACGCAUCCGCUAGUGUGCGAGUGCUGCACACAUUCGCACACGGCGAAGGCGUUUCGACUUAAUAAUCAACUGUUCAAAUUCUCUCACUGUAUUACCAAGCCUAAGAAUUAACGCAUCAAGCAAUUCCGAAAUCGAUUGGGGCCAUUCGAAAACAACGUGAAAUUUAUAAUAAUAAAUUAUAGAAAUUAUAUAAUAAAAUAAUAUACAACAUAUUAUAUAUAUUAUAUAACAUAAUUAUAAAUUUAGUGUAAUAAUAUAUCACUUAAAUCUUCUAAUUAGCAUAUUGUACUGUAGCAGAAACGUAGUUUUAUAACGUUGCAUCGGUUGAAAAAAAAACCAAACUUGACUCAUGCAAUUAAGCUGUAUCUUAAGCAAAAUCAAAAAGGCCUACGUAGUGUUAUUAAAACUCUAAAUAAAUAGUCAUUAGUAUAUAGAUACUAUAUAUUGCCUAUAGCGGAAGUGUGAUCACUAGAGAAAGAGAGACAGAUAUUUACAACUGUUAGCUAUUUAUUAUUCAGCGGGCAAUCGCCGCACGACACCUUCAAUCAUUCCAUGCAACGUCUUAACACACGCUAUUCAGUGAGUUUCGUGAGAAAUUUUUCUCUCCCUAUAUCGAAUAAAGUAAUGGAGAACAAAUGUUUCGCAUUACUUAAACUCAUCCCGAUCAUCCGAGUCAUUUUCAAUCUUUUCCAGAAGUAUUUUCAUCGGUAUUAACCGUCAUAAGCAAAAUGAUAUUUACUCGAAAUAGUGAUCUGCGAUCUAUUUAGUUUAUAUUUAGAACGAGAAUUGGUCGCAACGAAAUACCCGUUAUUCGCAUGUGAGGACGAUGUAAAAUUGAACCGGCUUAAAUAACUCUGUCCAAAUAAUAUUAUUAUACUUUAAGUACAAAUCCGACGGUAUAUAUAAUUGAAGAUUAAAUAUGUACUGUCCACUUAUAUGGGGAAAAAAGACGACGUGGUAUAGUUGUGAUGAUUUAUAAAUUAUUAUUAUAAAUACCCAAAUAAUGUAGUUAACUUAUUAUUUCUAUAAAUUAUAAGUAUAAUCGUUUAAGGAUACGUAUCAUAACUAGAGACAACAUUCCAAAAUAGGGAGGGGACCUCGUUUCCAAUGGUUAACAAUGGUAUUGUAAAUAAUCUAUUCUAUCUCAUUUACAACCAUUAAUUGUACUGCGACAUUCGCACUUGGUUUAUAGUCAUCUUAAUGCAGUACGUAUUGUCUAUCAUUACACAUACAUAUAAUAUAUCAGCUAUUAUUAAGGCUGCCACGGAGGAGCCGAUUGUAAAAGCCAGCUGCGUUUCUGUGUAACGAGACAAGAAUAUAUCAAAUAAUUUAUUA